UAGCAUAUCAAUAAGCGGAGGAAAAGAAACCAACAGGGAUUGCCCUAGUAACGGCGAGUGAAGCGGCAACAGCUCAAAUUUGAAAUCUGGCCUCGGCCCGAGUUGUAAUUUGCAGAGGAUGUUUCUGGCGCGGUGCCUUCCGAGUUCCCUGGAACGGGACGCCACAGAGGGUGAGAGCCCCGUAUGGUUGGACACCAAGCCUGUGUGAAACUCCUUCGACGAGUCGAGUAGUUUGGGAAUGCUGCUCUAAAUGGGAGGUAAAUCUCUUCUAAAGCUAAAUACCGGCCAGAGACCGAUAGCGCACAAGUAGAGUGAUCGAAAGAUGAAAAGCACCUUGAAAAGGGGGUUAAACAGUACGUGAAAUUGUUGAAAGGGAAGCGCUCAUGACCAGACUUGUGCCGGGCGGUUCAUCCGGGGUUCUCCCCGGUGCACUCCGCCCGGCUCAGGCCAGCAUCGGUUCUCGUUGGGGGAUAAGAACGGUAGGAACGUGGCCCUCCCUCGGGAGGGUGUUAUAGCCUGCCGUACGAUACCCUGAUGGGGACCGAGGUUCGCGCUCCGCAAGGAUGCUGGCGUAAUGGUCAUCAGCGACCCGUCUUGAAACACGGACCAAGGAGUCGUCCAUUAGAGCGAGCGUUUGGGUGUAAAACCCGCACGCGUAAUGAAAGUGAAAUUAGGUGAGAGCUUCGGCGCAUCAUCGACCGAUCCUGAUGUUCUCGGAUGGAUUUGAGUAAGAGUUUUAACGGACGGACCCGAAAGACAGUGAACUAUGCUUGUAUAGGGUGAAGCCAGAGGAAACUCUGGUGGAGGCUCGCAGCGGUUCUGACGUGCAAAUCGAUCGUCAAAUAUGAACAUGGGGGUUAAAGACUAAUCGAAAUGUCUAAUCCUGGUUCCGGCAAU
Molecule: ribosomal RNA, 897 nt
Filed under: Harknessia leucospermi
Lineage: Eukaryota; Fungi; Ascomycota; Sordariomycetes; Diaporthales; Harknessiaceae
Description: LSU rRNA
Rfam family: Eukaryotic large subunit ribosomal RNA
Source: RNAcentral